Small nuclear RNA from Saimiri boliviensis boliviensis (Bolivian squirrel monkey), 110 nucleotides. The record is from Ensembl. Lineage: Eukaryota; Metazoa; Chordata; Mammalia; Primates; Cebidae.
GUGCUUGCUUCAGCAGCACAUAUACUAAAAUUGGAACGAUGCAGAGAAGAUUAGCAUGGUCCCUGAAGAUUUAAAACAAACAAAAGGCUUAGGAAGUAUUCCUUCUUUUG